UAAAUGUACUGAUAAACAAUAUCAAAACUAUAAAUGACUGCAUCUUAAAUAUUUCACCAUAAAAAAACUGUUGAAGACAGGAGACUGAUAAAACACAUCAUGUCAUCAUGCUUCGUACACAGUUAAUUAUUGUUUUAAUAGCCGUAUUGAUUCAAAAAUCAUUACAAAGUAAUAUUCCACUGAUAUCAUACGAUAUAGAACGAGAUGGGGAUCAACCUUACGAGAAGACACCGCAAUUACCACAUCAGAAUAUUAUAAUGGACAAAGAUCUAAUAGACGAUGGUGAUGGUUGGACGACUCUGGGAUCUAACCACAAUCCAGGACAUGUCACGCUAUCGCCGAGAACGGGAAUAAAAACGUACGUCUCGAAAGACAGUUAUCAACGACGGUCCAUCCAAAACGUCAUAGAUCAAAUACUAUUGGAAAACGCUCGUAGAAAACAACAAACCCCUUAUUGGGUAAAAAAAAUCCGUACACGUCCGUAUAAAAACAAAGCAGUUCUACUAAGUCAUAAAAAUAAAACAAAACAAAAGCUUUCGAACAGACCACACCGACCAACAAGGAGACCGAGAAAAAAGCCAAAAGAAGUAUCGGAAGGCGAUUUACAGGAGACCGUCUUGGCAAAAUUAAAAUGGCAUUGGCCUCGUUUUUGGCCUUUCUGGCCAGAUUUCGAAUGGAAACAAUAGGCCAAUUAAAUCCAAAUAUAUAAAGUUACAAAUAAUUUAUUAGAAAUAUGUAUCAUUAAAUAUCCUUCUCCUUGAGUAUCUUGAGAUAUUUUUAUUUGAUAUCCGAUAAAAAUAAUACAUUUGCCUUUGAAUUAUAAUAUAUAUUACGUUAAUGUUAAGUAUUAAAAAACUGAUUUAGGCGAUUAAAUAAAUAACCAAAACGAUUAAA
This is a long non-coding RNA of Nymphalis io (European peacock), 894 nucleotides long. RefSeq lists it as uncharacterized. The transcript has 2 exons. The record is from RefSeq and is a predicted model, not a curated record. Lineage: Eukaryota; Metazoa; Arthropoda; Insecta; Lepidoptera; Nymphalidae.